UACAGAGGUCUCAAGCGUUGUUCGGAUUCAUUGGGCGUAAAGGGUGCGUAGGUGGCGCUGUAAGUCGGGUGUGAAAUUUCGGAGCUUAACUCCGAAACUGCAUUCGAUACUGCGGUGCUUGAGGACUGGAGAGGAGACUGGAAUUCAUGGUGUAGCGGUGGAAUGCGCAGAUAUCAGGAGGAACACCGGUGGCGAAGGCGGGUCUCUGGGCAGUAACUGACGCUGAGGAGCGAAAGCGUGGGGAGCGAACAGG
RNAcentral lists this ribosomal RNA (253 nucleotides) under uncultured bacterium. RNAcentral describes it as "partial 16S ribosomal RNA". It matches the Rfam family "Bacterial small subunit ribosomal RNA", at positions 524 to 776 of the family's 1533-position model. The record is from RNAcentral.